RNAcentral lists this ribosomal RNA (483 nucleotides) under uncultured bacterium. RNAcentral's name for it is "partial 16S ribosomal RNA". It matches the Rfam family "Bacterial small subunit ribosomal RNA", at positions 30 to 506 of the family's 1533-position model. The record is from RNAcentral.
AUUGAACGCUGGCGGCAGGCCUAACACAUGCAAGUCGAGCGGAUGAAGGGAGCUUGCUCCUGGAUUCAGCGGCGGACGGGUGAGUAAUGCCUAGGAAUCUGCCUGGUAGUGGGGGAUAACGUCCGGAAACGGGCGCUAAUACCGCAUACGUCCUGAGGGAGAAAGUGGGGGAUCUUCGGACCUCACGCUAUCAGAUGAGCCUAGGUCGGAUUAGCUAGUUGGUGGGGUAAAGGCCUACCAAGGCGACGAUCCGUAACUGGUCUGAGAGGAUGAUCAGUCACACUGGAACUGAGACACGGUCCAGACUCCUACGGGAGGCAGCAGUGGGGAAUAUUGGACAAUGGGCGAAAGCCUGAUCCAGCCAUGCCGCGUGUGUGAAGAAGGUCUUCGGAUUGUAAAGCACUUUAAGUUGGGAGGAAGGGCAGUAAGUUAAGACCUUGCUGUUUGGACGUGACCAACAGAAUAAGCACCGGCUAACUUCGU